This 531-nucleotide ribosomal RNA is filed under the name Pseudoalteromonas sp. RNAcentral's name for it is "bacterial SSU rRNA". It matches the Rfam family "Bacterial small subunit ribosomal RNA", at positions 380 to 903 of the family's 1533-position model. The record is from RNAcentral. Lineage: Bacteria; Pseudomonadati; Pseudomonadota; Gammaproteobacteria; Alteromonadales; Pseudoalteromonadaceae.
AGCCUGAUGCAGCCAUGCCGCGUGUGUGAAGAAGGCCUUCGGGUUGUAAAGCACUUUCAGUAAGGAGGAAAGGUUAAGUGUUAAUAGCAGCUUAGCUGUGACGUUACUUACAGAAGAAGCACCGGCUAACUCCGUGCCAGCAGCCGCGGUAAUACGGAGGGUGCGAGCGUUAAUCGGAAUUACUGGGCGUAAAGCGUACGCAGGCGGUUUGUUAAGCGAGAUGUGAAAGCCCCGGGCUCAACCUGGGAACUGCAUUUCGAACUGGCAAACUAGAGUGUGAUAGAGGGUGGUAGAAUUUCAGGUGUAGCGGUGAAAUGCGUAGAGAUCUGAAGGAAUACCGAUGGCGAAGGCAGCCACCUGGGUCAACACUGACGCUCAUGUACGAAAGCGUGGGGAGCAAACAGGAUUAGAUACCCUGGUAGUCCACGCCGUAAACGAUGUCUACUAGAAGCUCGGGUCUUCGGACUUGUUUUUCAAAGCUAACGCAUUAAGUAGACCGCCUGGGGAGUACGGCCGCAAGGUUAAAACUCA